CGUGCUACAAUGGACAAUACAAAGGGCAGCGAAACCGCGAGGUCAAGCAAAUCCCAUAAAGUUGUUCUCAGUUCGGAUUGUAGUCUGCAACUCGACUACAUGAAGCUGGAAUCGCUAGUAAUCGUAGAUCAGCAUGCUACGGUGAAUACGUUCCCGGGUCUUGUACACACCGCCCGUCACACCACGAGAGUUUGUAACACCCGAAGCCGGUGGAGUAACCUUUUAGGAGCUAGCCGUCGAAGGUGGGACAAAUGAUUGGGGUGAAGUCGUAACAAGGUAGCCGUAUCGGAAGGUGCGGCUGGAUCCCCUCCUUUCUAAGGA
This 321-nucleotide ribosomal RNA is filed under the name Staphylococcus aureus. RNAcentral describes it as "bacterial SSU rRNA". It matches the Rfam family "Bacterial small subunit ribosomal RNA", at positions 1221 to 1533 of the family's 1533-position model. Lineage: Bacteria; Bacillati; Bacillota; Bacilli; Caryophanales; Staphylococcaceae. The record is from RNAcentral.